This 497-nucleotide ribosomal RNA is filed under the name uncultured bacterium. RNAcentral describes it as "partial 16S ribosomal RNA". It matches the Rfam family "Bacterial small subunit ribosomal RNA", at positions 28 to 507 of the family's 1533-position model. The record is from RNAcentral.
GAUGAACGCUGGCGGCGUGCCUAAUACAUGCAAGUCGAGCGAACAGAUAAGGAGCUUGCUCCUUUGACGUUAGCGGCGGACGGGUGAGUAACACGUGGAUAACCUACCUAUAAGACUGGGAUAACUUCGGGAAACCGGAGCUAAUACCGGAUAACAUAUUGAACCGCAUGGUUCAAUAGUGAAAGGCGGCUUUGCUGUCACUUAUAGAUGGAUCCGCGCCGUAUUAGCUAGUUGGUAAGGUAACGGCUUACCAAGGCAACGAUACGUAGCCGACCUGAGAGGGUGAUCGGCCACACUGGAACUGAGACACGGUCCAGACUCCUACGGGAGGCAGCAGUAGGGAAUCUUCCGCAAUGGGCGAAAGCCUGACGGAGCAACGCCGCGUGAGUGAUGAAGGUCUUCGGAUCGUAAAACUCUGUUAUCAGGGAAGACCAAAUGUGUAAGUAACUGUGCACAUCUUGACGGUACCUGAUCAGAAAGCCACGGCUAACUACGUG